RNAcentral lists this small nucleolar RNA (124 nucleotides) under Wuchereria bancrofti. RNAcentral describes it as "Nematode snoRNA ceN40". It matches the Rfam family "Nematode snoRNA ceN40". The record is from Rfam by way of RNAcentral. Lineage: Eukaryota; Metazoa; Nematoda; Chromadorea; Rhabditida; Onchocercidae.
GCGCGAUGAUUUAGAUUUGGUGACUAAUGGCUGAGGCGGACUGGUCAGCCUCGUCUGAAUAAGACGGAACCCAAGGUAUGACUGUUCGUCGCAGGAUCGAAGCUUUAGUCGCUGUAUGAGCGCU